Molecule: ribosomal RNA, 587 nt
Filed under: uncultured Comamonas sp.
Lineage: Bacteria; Pseudomonadati; Pseudomonadota; Betaproteobacteria; Burkholderiales; Comamonadaceae
Description: bacterial SSU rRNA
Rfam family: Bacterial small subunit ribosomal RNA
Source: RNAcentral
CCUACGGGAGGCAGCAGUGGGGAAUUUUGGACAAUGGGCGAAAGCCUGAUCCAGCAAUGCCGCGUGCAGGAUGAAGGCCCUCGGGUUGUAAACUGCUUUUGUACGGAACGAAAAGCCUGGGGCUAAUAUCCCCGGGUCAUGACGGUACCGUAAGAAUAGGCACCGGCUAACUACGUGCCAGCAGCCGCGGUAAUACGUAGGGUGCAAGCGUUAAUCGGAAUUACUGGGCGUAAAGCGUGCGCAGGCGGUUUUGUAAGACAGUGGUGAAAUCCCCGGGCUCAACCUGGGAACUGCCAUUGUGACUGCAAGGCUAGAGUGCGGCAGAGGGGGAUGGAAUUCCGCGUGUAGCAGUGAAAUGCGUAGAUAUGCGGAGGAACACCGAUGGCGAAGGCAAUCCCCUGGACCUGCACUGACGCUCAUGCACGAAAGCGUGGGGAGCAAACAGGAUUAGAUACCCUGGUAGUCCACGCCCUAAACGAUGUCAACUGGUUGUUGGGUCUUAACUGACUCAGUAACGAAGCUAACGCGUGAAGUUGACCGCCUGGGGAGUACGGCCGCAAGGUUGAAACUCAAAUGAAUUGACGGGG